CCAGGAAAGCUGCCCAUUCUCAUGGGCAAAAUCUCCAGAGAAUUUGUUUAGACAGGAGACAUAUUUGGCUCUGGCAACUGCGUUUGUGUUUUUGAGAUUGAUUUACAUAUUUUUCCCUACUCUGCUUGUAUUUGUUCAAUUUGCUUGGAGAGGGCAUAUUCGGAACUUGAGAUUGGGGAGCUUCUUGGAGCAUCCUCGGGCCUAUCUGAAUGGAAUAAUACAAGUAUUCAAUUCUCUGAAGGAGCCUUGCAGGAAAACUAAUUUACAAGAAGGAGCGAUGAAUGCCAGGGCAUGGGCGUCCAAGUCCCUUGUUACGGUGUCAAUAGGGGAUGCAAGCACCAGCAGAGGUCCACCAAUUAGUGAAUGCCGCUGAGUUUUUCUCUGAUUGUGCGAAGGGUAAAAUUUGACAUCCCUGGUUAUAGUUUAAUGUUUGUGACAAUGUGAAAUAUGUUGACAUUGUUGUAUCCAUUUCUCAUUUGUCCAUAUGAUUUAGUACACAGUUUAUUUUGCCAUUUAAGAAGNNNNNNNNGUGUAUAUAUAAUAUUGAUAGACAUUGUGUCCAAACCCAUCUAUUUUAUCCAACAUAAAUGAAU
Molecule: unclassified non-coding RNA, 593 nt
Filed under: Hevea brasiliensis (rubber tree)
Lineage: Eukaryota; Viridiplantae; Streptophyta; Magnoliopsida; Malpighiales; Euphorbiaceae
Source: RNAcentral